RNAcentral lists this long non-coding RNA (650 nucleotides) under Homo sapiens (human). RNAcentral describes it as "non-protein coding lnc-AQP12A-1:9". Lineage: Eukaryota; Metazoa; Chordata; Mammalia; Primates; Hominidae. The record is from RNAcentral.
GUGGGCAUGCAGGGCGCAGACUGACCACUCUGUUCCCACACCUGGCUCAAGCUCGUCUCCCCCGAGAGCCACAGGGAGUGCUGGACCCGCCUGAGCGGGGGGCAUAUGGGGCUCAGCACAGCACUGUGGGGCCUGGAUGAGAAGCCGCUGGUCUCUUCUGCCCCUCCCUGACAUUGAGGACUGGAACCUUGGGGAGCCUUGGGUGAGGUCGCCUCCCAGGAAGUCCUGAGCUGAGACAUCGCGGGCCCAUUUUGAGGUGGCUGUGAGGGGUACAGGUGAGUGUACUUGGGGUUCCUUCAAGGCCAGGCCCAGCAGGUCACCUGCAGAAGGCCUUGGGCAGGUGCCCCCCACCCCGUCCUGGAACACCAUUCUUCCCCAUCGCCCCAGAGGACCAGGCCCAGGCAAGGCUGGGAAUGCUUAGCCGACCUGCUCAGCAUGAAGCUCCUGCCCCAACCCCCUCCUUCCAGGUGCCCGGCCUGGGCUCUGCCAGAGGCUGAGGUGCCCAGGGUGUCAGGACGGCCACCCUGAAGGCCCUACCCCUUUAUAGGAAAUAAAGUCUUCUUUCCAAAUUUAUAGAUGUGGGAUUUGUUCAGUGGACAUAGCUCACCCGGGGCAUUUUAGGAAUUUACCCAAAAGACAUAAAAGUCUGC